RNAcentral lists this ribosomal RNA (615 nucleotides) under uncultured bacterium. RNAcentral describes it as "bacterial SSU rRNA". It matches the Rfam family "Bacterial small subunit ribosomal RNA", at positions 67 to 728 of the family's 1533-position model. The record is from RNAcentral.
CGAACCCUUCGGGGUGAGUGGCGCACGGGUGCGUAACACGUGGGAAUAUACACAUAGGUAAGGAAUAACACAGAGAAAUUUGUGCUAAUACCUUAUAAUAACUCCGGUUCAAAGAUUUAUCGCCUAUGGAUUAGCCCGCGCUAGAUUAGUUUGUUGGUGAGGUAAAAGCUCACCAAGACUACGAUCUAUAGCUGGUCUUAGAGGAUGAUCAGCCACACUGGAACUGAGACACGGUCCAGACUCCUACGGGAGGCAGCAGUGAGGAAUAUUGCGCAAUGGAGGAAACUCUGACGCAGCCAUGCCGCGUGAAUGAAGAAGGCCCUAGGGUUGUAAAAUUCUUUCAGAUGCGAAGAUAAUGACGGUAACAUCAGAAGAAGCUCCGGCUAAAUUCGUGCCAGCAGCCGCGGUAAUACGAAUGGAGCGAGCGUUGUUCGGAAUCAUUGGGCGUAAAGCGUAUGUAGGCGGACUAGAAAGUCAGAAGUGAAAUCCCGAGGCUCAACCUCGGAAUUGCUUUUGAAACUCCUAGUCUAGUGUCCCGGAGGGGUUGACGGAAUUCCUAGUGUAGAGGUGAAAUUCGCAGAUAUUAGGAGGAACACCAGUGGCGUAGGCGGUCAA